UACGUUAGGGGGGCAAGCGUUGUCCGGAAUCAUUGGGCGUAAAGCGCCGCGUAGCGGCCCGGUAAGUCCGCUGUGAAAGUCAAAGGCUCAACCUUUGAAUGUCAGCGGAUACUGCCGGCUAGAGUCCGGAAGAGGCGAGUGGGAACUCCUGGUGUAGCGGUGGAAUGCGCAGAUAUCGAGGAAGAACACCAACGGCGAAGGCAGCUCGCUGGGACGGAACUGACGCGUGAAGGCGC
Molecule: ribosomal RNA, 236 nt
Filed under: uncultured bacterium
Lineage: Bacteria
Description: partial 16S ribosomal RNA
Rfam family: Bacterial small subunit ribosomal RNA
Source: RNAcentral